Molecule: ribosomal RNA, 466 nt
Filed under: uncultured bacterium
Lineage: Bacteria
Description: partial 16S ribosomal RNA
Rfam family: Bacterial small subunit ribosomal RNA
Source: RNAcentral
CCUACGGGCGGCAGCAGUGGGGAAUCUUCCGCAAUGGACGCAAGCCUGACGGAGCAACGCCGCGUGCAUGAAGACGGUCUUCGGAUCGUAAAGUUCUGUUCUUAGGGAAGUAGUCUUCGGUUGUGAAUAAUGACUUAAGGUGACGGUACCUAUGGAGACAGCUCCGGCUAACUACGUGCCAGCAGCCGCGGUAAUACGUAGGGAGCGAGCGUUGUCCGGAAUUACUGGGCGUAAAGGGCGCGUAGGCGGGAAGUUAAGUUAGAUGUGAAAACUCCGGGCUUAACCUGGAGACUGCAUUUAAUACUGUGUUACUUGAGGGCAGGAGAGGAAAGUGGAAUUCCUAGUGUAGCGGUGAAAUGCGUAGAGAUUAGGAGGAACACCAGUGGCGAAGGCGACUUUCUGAACUGUACCUGACGCUGAGGCGCGAAAGCAUGGGGAGCGAACAGGAUUAGAUACCCGAGUAGUC